AUGCUCAUGGAGCGGCCGAUAUCUGAUUAGCUAGUUGGUGGGGUAAAAGCCCACCAAGGCGACGAUCAGUAGCUGGUCUGAGAGGACGACCAGCCACACUGGGACUGAGACACGGCCCAG
RNAcentral lists this ribosomal RNA (120 nucleotides) under uncultured bacterium. RNAcentral's name for it is "partial 16S ribosomal RNA". It matches the Rfam family "Bacterial small subunit ribosomal RNA", at positions 215 to 334 of the family's 1533-position model. The record is from RNAcentral.